UACAGAGGUCCCAAGCGUUGUUCGGAUUCACUGGGCGUAAAGGGUGCGUAGGCGGUCGGGUAAGUCUGAUGUGAAAUCUCACAGCUUAACUGUGAAACUGCAUUGGAUACUAUUCGGCUCGAGGAAUGGAGGGGAGACUGGAAUACUUGGUGUAGCAGUGAAAUGCGUAGAUAUCAAGUGGAACACCAGUGGCGAAGGCGAGUCUCUGGACAUUUCCUGACGCUGAGGCACGAAAGCCAGGGGAGCAAACGGG
RNAcentral lists this ribosomal RNA (253 nucleotides) under uncultured bacterium. RNAcentral's name for it is "partial 16S ribosomal RNA". It matches the Rfam family "Bacterial small subunit ribosomal RNA", at positions 524 to 776 of the family's 1533-position model. The record is from RNAcentral.